This 426-nucleotide ribosomal RNA is filed under the name Triticum aestivum (bread wheat). RNAcentral describes it as "partial small subunit ribosomal RNA". Lineage: Eukaryota; Viridiplantae; Streptophyta; Magnoliopsida; Poales; Poaceae. The record is from RNAcentral.
GUGGCUUUGUUACCUAUUCCAUUAGGAACUGCAGAUUUUUUAGUCCAUCACAUUCAUGCAUUUACCAUACAUGUGACUGUAUUAAUACUUUUGAAAGGUGUUUUAUUUGCUCGGAGUUCCCGUUUGAUACCCGAUAAAGCAAAUCUAGGUUUUCGCUUUCCUUGCGAUGGGCCUGGCUGAGGGGGAACAUGUCAAGUAUCCGUCUGGGAUCAUGUUUUCUUAGGUUUAUUCUGGAUGUACAAUCCAAUUUCGAUAGUCAUUUUCCAUUUCAGUUGGAAAAUGCAGUCGGAUGAGUCAAGAACGACUCGAAGACCGUGGGAAGGUCUUCACGCUACGCCGAAGACGACGAUGGCUCCAUACCGGGUGGUAAUACACAGGUAUAGGAUUUCCUGUAAUGAUGUGAAACUGUAUAUUUCAGAGAAAUAG